Molecule: long non-coding RNA, 774 nt
Organism: Strigops habroptila (Kakapo)
Lineage: Eukaryota; Metazoa; Chordata; Aves; Psittaciformes; Psittacidae
Exons: 2
Source: RefSeq, a predicted model, not a curated record
UUGCAUGUUGGAUUGUGAACACUUGAGUAACACUUUCAAACUUUAUUACUGUUCUGCUGUAUGUUAAAUUAAUCUCUUGUCAGUCUUAGGAGGAGGAGGUUUUGUGUACUGACAUUUUCCUUUUAAAGGCAAAAUGAAACAUUAAAUUAAUUAGAAAUUGGUGUAGCAAAAUCCAUUCAACCACAUUCAGGAGAGAAUCCUCUUUGGUGGGUGAAUUUUUCAGGCCAUUCUGGUUUAGGAAAUGACUACCUGUCUGUUUUGCCAUGACAGCGUGGUCUGUCCUGACUGGGCAUUAAAAAAGAGAAGACAGGACUUGACAAACAAAUUACCUUACGGUAACCAUUAGCUCUGAGGGGCAUACAGUAACUGUCCACGUAUAAGAAUGGUCAGCACCUUUUGGACUGUAAUCUGCUUUUAUUAAGGACAAAGCUAACCUUAGUUAUUCUGUACAGCUGCAAGCACACAGCUGUUCAGCACACAUCAGGAGUCUGUAGCGUUGACUUUUAGAUGUGUGUGUGGUGAUAGAAUCCAGGAAGAUCCAUUCUCAAGAGAAGGUUUUAGGGUUUCAUUUCCUAAAACGUAAUCCUAAGAUGCUACCUAGAGAGAUGUGAGGUGCCUACACUUACCUGUUCUCUGUGGUUUACUUUUAGGGAACAUCCCCCCUGAUUUUUUUUUUUCAUUUACUUAUUUGUAGAAGCAUUUAUUGUAACAUUGUGUUGAAGUACCUGUCAGUGCUCUUGGUGAGGUCUAGAGAGUUGUAUAAAUGACCUUUGC